RNAcentral lists this ribosomal RNA (270 nucleotides) under unidentified soil organism R6-60. Its description in RNAcentral is "partial 16S ribosomal RNA". It matches the Rfam family "Bacterial small subunit ribosomal RNA", at positions 1234 to 1501 of the family's 1533-position model. The record is from RNAcentral.
AUGGCACAAAGGGAAGCCAGACCGUCAGGUGGAGCAAAUCCCAUAAAACCAUGCCCAGUUCAGAUUGUCGUCUGCAACUCGACGACAUGAAGCCGGAAUCGCUAGUAAUGGCGCAUCAGCUACGGCGCCGUGAAUACGUUCCCAGGCCUUGUACACACCGCCCGUCACAUCAUGAAAGCCGGUUGUACCCGAAGUCCACUCUGUUAACCGCAAGGAGACAGUGGCCGAAGGUAUGGCUGGUGAUUGGGAUGAAGUCGUAACAAGGUACGG